UUGUUUUCUUUAGAAUUAAUUAUUUGUAAUUUACGAAAAUUUGUGCUGUUUCUUGAAGAGCAUGCAGAAAUAUACAAGAUUGUGAGCUUUUGAUGGUCGAUGCCAAGAAGGUGAAGUUUAUCAUCGCUGCAUGGUUGCAAAAUCCGCAAAAUUGAGUUCCGCUGCCGGGUGUCGGUGCCUAUAGGCAAGCAGCGCAACGAGAACGGCCAGAACAAUGUGUCGGUGAUGGGAUACGAACAUUGAAAGGGCAAGACGAUCGCGACCGGGAGGAACAUCACCGCGACUAGAGGAGGUUGGAGGUGAGCGUGAUGUUAUUGUCAUUCGUUCAACCACCCCUCCCACAUACUACCCAGAGCGGUGGUUCAACGUCCAACGUGCGUGAUAUGUGAUCCGUCGCCUAAACUCAAAGGCUUGAUAGAAAAGAAAAUUGUAGAAAACGACAAAAUAGGUUCGAUUUAACAAACAUACAGCUGAAUAAUAAGGAGGAGUAAGCGCCAAGUUGGUACACAAGUCGUCGAGGAUGACUACGAAGGAAAACAUGAAGGUGAACUGGAGUUGAGCCACUCAGACCAAGAGGACAAUCCAGAUUUCAAGGCCACUCGCGAUGAAAGCAGAAAAGGGUCGGUGUGUGUAUCAGAGAAUCAGUCAUAAAAAAGAAGAUGGGACGAAGACACCAGAAACUACAGUACUUCAAGCGGAUAUUUCUUCCGGUUUCAGUGGAAACUAAGGACGCUUUACAUAGAGUGUGGAUCGAACUGCUCGACUAAACGGUGUAGCUGCAAGAAGUUGUACGAAAUUAGAUAGAGAUUUUUUGAAACUACGGGAGGAAAAGAAAAAUUAGGUGACAUAGAAUGGCGUCCGUUAGCGCUCGCUGAAUAACCGCAAAUUGUAAUGUUCAUUACAAAGAAUUCUAUUUCUGAGAAGAUCUAUUAAUAAUAUAUUAUAUUGCAUUGAUGGUAGGGCGAUUUGAUUUUUACGCAAAUUAUUGUUUAUGUAACAAAAGAAUAUUUGUAUGCUUGUCCAAACAUUCAAUCAGCGCCCUUAAACAUUUUGAACCGAACAUAAGUGCAUGUUUGAAUGAAUGCAUUGAACGAUCAGGAUUAAAAUCAUAGAACAGUUACGAGAAUAUACAUAAUAGAGAAAAAAAACAAAAGAAACAUCUGCUUAAUUCGGCAUCAAUUGUUUUUUAUCUACCAAUAUCAUUAUAUAUACUUCUAGUUAUUAGUGUAAUAUUUUGAGUUGAGGAAAUAAAAUUAACAUUACAGUAUACAUA
Armigeres subalbatus is the source of this 1273-nucleotide long non-coding RNA. RefSeq lists it as uncharacterized. The transcript is spliced from 3 exons. NCBI's taxonomy places the organism in Eukaryota, Metazoa, Arthropoda, Insecta, Diptera, Culicidae. The record is from RefSeq and is a predicted model, not a curated record.